CACGUAGUUAGCCGGAGCUUAUUCUACAGGUACUGUCUUGUUUCUUCCCUGUCUAAAGCAGUUUACAAUCCGAAAACCUUCUUCCCGCACGCGGCGUCACUGCGUCAGAGUUUCCUCCAUUGCGCAAUAUUCCCGACUGCUGCCUCUCGUAGGAGUCUGGGCCGUAUCUCAGUCCCAAUGUGGCCGUUCAACCUCUCAGUCCGGCUACUGAUCGUCGACUUGGUAGGCCGUUACCCCACAACUAUCUAAUCAGACGCAAGCCCAUCUAUCAGCGAAUUGCUUCUUUCCCUUUGUAACAUGUGUUACUAAGGCAUAUGCGGUAUUAGCAGUCAUUUCUAACUGUUGUUCCCCUCUGAUAGGCAGGUUGCUUACGUGUUACUCACCAGUCCGCCACUAACCGCUCCAAUAGUAAACUAAUGGUUAAGUCCGUUCGACUUGCAUGUCUUAUGUGCGCCGCCAGCGUUUAUCCUGAGCCAGGAUCAAACUCU
Molecule: ribosomal RNA, 488 nt
Filed under: uncultured Eubacteriales bacterium
Lineage: Bacteria; Bacillati; Bacillota; Clostridia; Eubacteriales
Description: uncultured Clostridiales bacterium partial 16S ribosomal RNA
Source: RNAcentral